UCUGAGAAGGGUUCGAGUG
Molecule: small nuclear RNA, 19 nt
Filed under: Arabidopsis thaliana (thale cress)
Lineage: Eukaryota; Viridiplantae; Streptophyta; Magnoliopsida; Brassicales; Brassicaceae
Description: snRNA_03919
Source: RNAcentral